UGAAGCAGAUGUUGAGCAGACAGCUGUGGCUGAUGUUCUGAUUAUGUUCUGUUAAUCUUUGUUCAUUCAUACCAUAGGUUCAUACGAAGUUUCAUAAUCGACAGGCACAUGCUCCUGGCAGUGACACCUCCUGUCUUAGCUUCUCAUACGAUGGCAACACCCUGGCCUCACGUGGUGGUAUUGGCACCAUUAAGACCUGGA
This is a non-coding RNA of Chiloscyllium plagiosum (whitespotted bambooshark), 201 nucleotides long. The record is from RefSeq and is a predicted model, not a curated record. NCBI's taxonomy places the organism in Eukaryota, Metazoa, Chordata, Chondrichthyes, Orectolobiformes, Hemiscylliidae.